Molecule: ribosomal RNA, 433 nt
Filed under: uncultured bacterium
Lineage: Bacteria
Description: partial 16S ribosomal RNA
Rfam family: Bacterial small subunit ribosomal RNA
Source: RNAcentral
AACGAACGCUGGCGGCAUGCCUAACACAUGCAAGUCGAACGAAGCCUUCGGGCUUAGUGGCGCACGGGUGCGUAACGCGUGGGAAUCUGCCCCUUGCUUCGGAAUAACAGUUAGAAAUGACUGCCAAUACCGGAUGAAGUCUUCGGACCAAAGAUUUAUCGGCAAGGGAUGAGCCCGCGUAGGAUUAGGUAGUUGGUGGGGUAAAGGCCUACCAAGCCGACGAUCCUUAGCUGGUCUGAGAGGAUGAUCAGCCACACUGGGACUGAGACACGGCCCAGACUCCUACGGGAGGCAGCAGUGGGGAAUAUUGGACAAUGGACGCAAGUCUGAUCCAGCAAUGCCGCGUGAGUGAUGAAGGCCUUAGGGUUGUAAAGCUCUUUUACCAGGGAUGAUAAUGACAGUACCUGGAGAAUAAGCUCCGGCUAACUCCGUG